RNAcentral lists this ribosomal RNA (459 nucleotides) under Triticum aestivum (bread wheat). RNAcentral's name for it is "partial small subunit ribosomal RNA". Lineage: Eukaryota; Viridiplantae; Streptophyta; Magnoliopsida; Poales; Poaceae. The record is from RNAcentral.
AUGCACCAAGUACUGCACAAUCCACUUCAUUUGAACAUGCUGCUGUACAUCAGUUCUGUGUUGAAGUUCAAUUGCUGUAACUUCGAUUCUGCGUUGGAACUGAGUAGACUUGUGCAAUUUAGGGUGUCAAUGGAUUGGAUAUAUCUGACUGGCACAGCACGAAAUCUAAAUCAAAUUGUCCCGGCUGUGAUAUUUGCUAUCUGGAAAGAGAAGAUCGUAAGACACACACUUAAGUUGUUUUUCUUGAUUUUUAAUUGUCACCUAGCACUGCCGCCAGUGCUUAGGUUGUGCAUUUGUGGCGGCAUAUGCAGUACUCACAUCAUGGAGGAGGGUUGCGACUUGCAAGUGUGGCCCUGUGUUGGUAACCUAGCCCUCACAUCACUCUUCUCUGUGGCUCAUUGGAGGGAAGUGCUUGAUAAAUCGAAUAUAUUAGCAACGAAUUUGGUUUGUAUUAGUUAA